Molecule: non-coding RNA, 45 nt
Filed under: Schistosoma mattheei
Lineage: Eukaryota; Metazoa; Platyhelminthes; Trematoda; Strigeidida; Schistosomatidae
Source: RNAcentral
AUGCAGCUGACGAGUCCCAAAUGGGACAUAACGCGAGUCUUGGAU